RNAcentral lists this ribosomal RNA (500 nucleotides) under uncultured Glomeromycotina. Its description in RNAcentral is "partial small subunit ribosomal RNA". It matches the Rfam family "Eukaryotic small subunit ribosomal RNA", at positions 591 to 1092 of the family's 1831-position model. The record is from RNAcentral. Lineage: Eukaryota; Fungi; Glomeromycota.
CCAAUAGCGUAUAUUAAAGUUGUUGCAGUUAAAAAGCUCGUAGUUGAAUUUCGGGAUCGACGGGUCGGUCGCGCCUCUGGUGUGUACUGGCCCUGUCGGUUUCUCCCUUCUGACGAACUACGAUGUCAUUAAUUUGGUGUCGUAGGGAAUCAGGACUGUUACUUUGAAAAAAUUAGAGUGUUUAAAGCAGGCAUUCGCUUGAAUACAUUAGCAUGGAAUAAUGAAAUAGGACGUUUGAUCUUAUUUUGUUGGUUUCUAAGAACGACGUAAUGAUUAAUAGGGAUAGUUGGGGGCAUUAGUAUUCAAUUGUCAGAGGUGAAAUUCUUGGAUUUAUUGAAGACUAACUACUGCGAAAGCAUUUGCCAAGGAUGUUUUCAUUAAUCAAGAACGAAAGUUAGGGGAUCGAAGACGAUCAGAUACCGUCGUAGUCUUAACCAUAAACUAUGCCGACUAGGGAUCGGAUGAUGUUAAUUUUUUAAUGACUCAUUCGGCGCCUUACG